Molecule: non-coding RNA, 74 nt
Organism: Danio rerio (zebrafish)
Lineage: Eukaryota; Metazoa; Chordata; Actinopteri; Cypriniformes; Danionidae
Source: Rfam
GUCUCUGUGGCGUAAUCGGUUAGCGCGUUCGGCUGUUAACUGAAAGGUUGGUGGUUCAAGCCCACCCAGGCACG